RNAcentral lists this ribosomal RNA (497 nucleotides) under uncultured bacterium. RNAcentral's name for it is "partial 16S ribosomal RNA". It matches the Rfam family "Bacterial small subunit ribosomal RNA", at positions 28 to 507 of the family's 1533-position model. The record is from RNAcentral.
GAUGAACGCUGGCGGCGUGCCUAAUACAUGCAAGUCGAGCGAACAGACGAGGAGCUUGCUCCUCUGACGUUAGCGGCGGACGGGUGAGUAACACGUGGAUAACCUACCUAUAAGACUGGGAUAACUUCGGGAAACCGGAGCUAAUACCGGAUAAUAUAUUGAACCGCAUGGUUCAAUAGUGAAAGACGGUUUUGCUGUCACUUAUAGAUGGAUCCGCGCCGCAUUAGCUAGUUGGGAAGGUAACGGCUUACCAAGGCAACGAUGCGUAGCCGACCUGAGAGGGUGAUCGGCCACACUGGAACUGAGACACGGUCCAGACUACUACGGGAGGCAGCAGUAGGGAAUCUUCCGCAAUGGGCGAAAGCCUGACGGAGCAACGCCGCGUGAGUGAUGAAGGUCUUCGGAUCGUAAAACUCUGUUAUUAGGGAAGAACAAAUGUGUAAGUAACUAUGCACGUCUUGACGGUACCUAAUCAGAAAGCCACGGCUAACUACGUG